Molecule: unclassified non-coding RNA, 313 nt
Filed under: Hypholoma lateritium
Lineage: Eukaryota; Fungi; Basidiomycota; Agaricomycetes; Agaricales; Strophariaceae
Description: partial internal transcribed spacer region
Rfam family: Eukaryotic small subunit ribosomal RNA (bases 1-46)
Source: RNAcentral
AAGUCGUAACAAGGUUUCCGUAGGUGAACCUGCGGAAGGAUCAUUAUUGAAUGAACUUGACUUGGUUGCUGCUGGUCUUUUCGAAGGCAUGUGCACACUUUGUCAUCUUUAUAUCUCCACCUGUGCACCUUUUGUAGACCUGAAACCAAAUUUCCGAGGCAACUCGGUCGUGAGGAAAUGCUUAACAGCUUUCCUUGUUAGGUUCCAGGGCUAUGUUUUCAUAUACACCAUAAGAAUGUAACAGAAUGUCGUUAUUAGGCUUAGUUGCCUUAUAAACUAUAUACAACUUUCAGCAACGGAUCUCUUGGCUCUC